Non-coding RNA from Acanthosepion pharaonis, 104 nucleotides. Lineage: Eukaryota; Metazoa; Mollusca; Cephalopoda; Sepiida; Sepiidae. The record is from the annotation of a GenBank genome assembly.
UACGGCCAAAUCACGUUGAAACACCUAUUCCCAUAUGAUCAUCGAACUUAAGUAACGCCAGGUCAGGUCAGUACUUAGAUGGAUGACCGCUUGGGAAUAUCAGG